This 760-nucleotide ribosomal RNA is filed under the name Pseudomonas sp. Y4_278_2. RNAcentral describes it as "bacterial SSU rRNA". It matches the Rfam family "Bacterial small subunit ribosomal RNA", at positions 58 to 813 of the family's 1533-position model. Lineage: Bacteria; Pseudomonadati; Pseudomonadota; Gammaproteobacteria; Pseudomonadales; Pseudomonadaceae. The record is from RNAcentral.
CAAGUCGAGCGGUAGAGAGAAGCUUGCUUCUCUUGAGAGCGGCGGACGGGUGAGUAAUGCCUAGGAAUCUGCCUGGUAGUGGGGGAUAACGUUCGGAAACGGACGCUAAUACCGCAUACGUCCUACGGGAGAAAGCAGGGGACCUUCGGGCCUUGCGCUAUCAGAUGAGCCUAGGUCGGAUUAGCUAGUUGGUGGGGUAAUGGCUCACCAAGGCGACGAUCCGUAACUGGUCUGAGAGGAUGAUCAGUCACACUGGAACUGAGACACGGUCCAGACUCCUACGGGAGGCAGCAGUGGGGAAUAUUGGACAAUGGGCGAAAGCCUGAUCCAGCCAUGCCGCGUGUGUGAAGAAGGUCUUCGGAUUGUAAAGCACUUUAAGUUGGGAGGAAGGGUUGUAGAUUAAUACUCUGCAAUUUUGACGUUACCGACAGAAUAAGCACCGGCUAACUCUGUGCCAGCAGCCGCGGUAAUACAGAGGGUGCAAGCGUUAAUCGGAAUUACUGGGCGUAAAGCGCGCGUAGGUGGUUUGUUAAGUUGGAUGUGAAAUCCCCGGGCUCAACCUGGGAACUGCAUUCAAAACUGACUGACUAGAGUAUGGUAGAGGGUGGUGGAAUUUCCUGUGUAGCGGUGAAAUGCGUAGAUAUAGGAAGGAACACCAGUGGCGAAGGCGACCACCUGGACUAAUACUGACACUGAGGUGCGAAAGCGUGGGGAGCAAACAGGAUUAGAUACCCUGGUAGUCCACGCCGUAAACGAUGUC